GAGGUUGUGGCUCAGCGGUAGAGCCCUGGCCUGGCAUGGGUGAGGCACUGGGUUCGAAUCUCAGCACCCACA
Molecule: non-coding RNA, 72 nt
Organism: Ictidomys tridecemlineatus (thirteen-lined ground squirrel)
Lineage: Eukaryota; Metazoa; Chordata; Mammalia; Rodentia; Sciuridae
Source: Rfam